RNAcentral lists this long non-coding RNA (403 nucleotides) under Brassica napus (rape). RNAcentral's name for it is "long non-coding RNA (BNAP_LNC019837)". Lineage: Eukaryota; Viridiplantae; Streptophyta; Magnoliopsida; Brassicales; Brassicaceae. The record is from RNAcentral.
AGGGGGUAGUUUCAUAUGCUCGCAAGAUUCGUGUGAGGAUAAUUUGGCAUUGCAUCGUGUGUAUGGCUCAUGUGGGAAAGCAUUAUAACAUUUGUAACCGUAAAGGUAACGGUAAUCAUGAGUAGCUGGACAUCCUUCAUCAUAUGGCUCAUUCUUCUUUAAUGUUAGAGCAUCUCUAAUGUAUGUGUCUAUAUUUAAAAUAGAGAUCUCUAUUAUAGAGAUGAAUUUGCUCCAAUGUAUAACUUUAUAAUAGAGUUCUUCUAUUUUAGAAGAAAAUAUAGAGAAAUAUUACUUUUUACCUCUAUAUUUAAAGAUGAAAAUAACGCAUCUCUAUAUUUUCCUCUAUAAAUAGAGAAACUCUAUUAUAGAAGCAUACAUUGGAGCAAAUUCACCUCUAUAAUAG